GAUGAACGCUGGCGGCGUGCCUAAUACAUGCAAGUCGAGCGAACAGACGAGGAGCUUGCUCCUCUGACGUUGGCGGCGGACGGGUGAGUAACACGUGGCUAACCUACCUAUAAGACUGGGAUAACUUCGAGAAACCGGAGUUCAUACCGGAUAAUAUAUUGAACUGCAUGGUUCAAUAGUGAUAGACGGUUUUGGUGUCACUUCUAGACGUAUCCGCGCGGCAUUGGCUAGUUGGUAAGGUAACGGUUUACCAGGGCAACGAUCGGUAUACGAUCGGAGAGGGGGAUCGGCCACACUGGAAGGGAGACACGGUCCAUACUCCUACGGUAGGCAGCAGUAGGGAAUCUGCCGCAAUGGUCGAAAGCCUGACAGAGCAACGCGGCGUGUGUGAUGAAGGUCUUCGGAUCGUAAAACUCUGUUAUUAGUGAAGAACAAAUGUGUAAGUAACUAUGGACGGAUUGACGGUACCUAAUCAGAAAGCCACGGCUAACUACGUG
RNAcentral lists this ribosomal RNA (497 nucleotides) under uncultured bacterium. RNAcentral's name for it is "partial 16S ribosomal RNA". It matches the Rfam family "Bacterial small subunit ribosomal RNA", at positions 28 to 507 of the family's 1533-position model. The record is from RNAcentral.